This is a long non-coding RNA of Nematostella vectensis (starlet sea anemone), 1193 nucleotides long. RefSeq lists it as uncharacterized. The record is from RefSeq and is a predicted model, not a curated record. NCBI's taxonomy places the organism in Eukaryota, Metazoa, Cnidaria, Anthozoa, Actiniaria, Edwardsiidae. The transcript is spliced from 2 exons.
UGCGGUUUCAAAGGGUCUCAAAGCUGGCCGCGCUUCUUCUGGAUAUUUCGGAUGGGUCCGAUAGCGGAGACGAAGAUAGCCCUCCGCAGCAACCCAGUAAUGUUCCUAACACGAAGGGCCAUUGUUUGCAGGCUCUACGCACCGAUCUCCGUCGUACUCGUCGAGCUGCCUACGCCAAAGGAACUUAGGGUAACUUACGAACGCAAUUUCGUACAUUUAUGUUAUUUUGUUCUUAUUACGAGCUACAGCCAAUACCUGCUAGUAUUGACACUAUUUGUUUAUAUGCACAGUUCCUUAGUCGCUCUCUGUGUCCGAGUAUAUUCAAAAUUACUUGUCUGGCGUUAAGUUGUUACAUCCUUUAUUAUGUAGUCAAUUUAUUAUUUAGUCAAUUUAGCGCUCGUCGUGAUCUCACUCGAGAGGAUGUCGUUAUUAAUUCUACCGGAUUAUUAGUGACUUUUAAACAAACCCAGACCACUCAAUUCGGGGACCGUCCGUUGCAAAUUAGCCUUUUGUCAAUUCCGGGUUCGCCGUUAUGCCCUGUUGCUGCAUAUUAUCGCAUGCUCUCGCUUGUUCCUGCGCCGUCCAGCAGACCGCUCUUUCUGCUGUUAGAUAGCAACGGUAAAUCGUAUCCCCUAGCUAAGCGGGUCUUGGUUUCUACAUUUCUGGUGCUGGUGUCCCGAAUGCCGAGGCCUUUCGUGGUCACUCCUUUAGGCGUGGAUCUACUUCUUGGGCUUUCAAACUCGGUUAACCAGGCGAACUUUGUUUGGCCGGGGGUUUGGUGGCAGAGAAGAUUUAUUUUGUAUAUACUUAUGUUACUAUGGUUUUUUAUGAUAAAUAAACUUCUCUCUGGGCCAAACAAACACAUUACAGUGUCAGUCUUGUGUUCCUUAUUCUAGUAUUUAUAUUUAAUUAGCAUUAAUAGGGAAUUUGGAUAUAACAAGUAUUUCCAUGGGUUUCUCUUGGCUGUUUAUUCAGGUUGUGCUUGUUAUAACUUCCGCCUUCACUGCCUCACGUCACGCACGUCGCCUCACAAGUACUGGCCCUUCAGCCUUUGUAAUAUCAGUUCGUCUUUCUAUACGCCCUAGUAUUCAUGAGUACGCUUAGUUCUUAAAGAUAAAAAAACUGAGGUACAAAAAGGUGUAAACAUUACCUUGCCUAAUUUCGUGGGAAAAAUACAUCUAUGGUUGCGAUUU